RNAcentral lists this ribosomal RNA (782 nucleotides) under uncultured bacterium. RNAcentral's name for it is "bacterial SSU rRNA". It matches the Rfam family "Bacterial small subunit ribosomal RNA", at positions 8 to 796 of the family's 1533-position model. The record is from RNAcentral.
AGAGUUUGAUCCUGGCUCAGGAUGAACGCUAGCGGCAGGCCUAAUACAUGCAAGUCGAACGGUCGUAGCAAUACGAUAGUGGCGCACGGGUGCGUAACGCGUAACCAACCUGCCCUUGACUGGGGGAUAGCCCGCCGAAAGGCGGAUUAAUACCGCAUAAAACUAUAGACCGGCAUCGGUCAUUAGUUAAAGAUUUAUUGGUCAAGGAUGGGGUUGCGUGCCAUUAGCUAGUUGGGGGGGUAACGGCCCACCAAGGCGACGAUGGCUAGGGGAGCUGAGAGGCUGGUCCCCCACACGGGCACUGAGAUACGGGCCCGACUCCUACGGGAGGCAGCAGUAGGGAAUAUUGGGCAAUGGACGAGAGUCUGACCCAGCCAUGCCGCGUGCAGGAUGAAGGCUUUCUGAGUCGUAAACUGCUUUUGCCAGGGAAGAAAAAAGCGGAUGCGUCCGCUACUGACGGUACCUGGUGAAUAAGCACCGGCUAACUCCGUGCCAGCAGCCGCGGUAAUACGGAGGGUGCAAGCGUUGUCCGGAUUUAUUGGGUUUAAAGGGUGCGUAGGCGGCCGAUUAAGUCUGGGGUGAAAGCCCGUUGCUCAACAACGGAACUGCCCUGGAAACUGGUCGGCUUUGAGUACAGACGAGGGCGGCGGAAUGGAUGGUGUAGCGGUGAAAUGCAUAGAUACCAUCCAGAACCCCGAUUGCGAAGGCAGCUGCCUAGACUGUAACUGACGCUGAGGCACGAAAGCGUGGGGAGCGAACAGGAUUAGAUACCCUAGUAGUCC